GCAUUGGUAGUUCAGUGGUAGAACUCUUGCCUUCCGUGCAGGAGACUCAGGUUCGAGUCCCAGCCAAUGCA
This 71-nucleotide transfer RNA is filed under the name Loxodonta africana (African savanna elephant). It matches the Rfam family "tRNA". From Rfam's summary of the family: Transfer RNA (tRNA) molecules are approximately 80 nucleotides in length. Their secondary structure includes four short double-helical elements and three loops (D, anti-codon, and T loops). The record is from Rfam by way of RNAcentral. Lineage: Eukaryota; Metazoa; Chordata; Mammalia; Proboscidea; Elephantidae.